This 444-nucleotide ribosomal RNA is filed under the name uncultured bacterium. RNAcentral's name for it is "bacterial SSU rRNA". It matches the Rfam family "Bacterial small subunit ribosomal RNA", at positions 28 to 477 of the family's 1533-position model. The record is from RNAcentral.
GACGAACGCUGGCGGCGUGCUUAACACAUGCAAGUCGAACGGAGGUUACGAGGAAGCUUGCGAAUUGUAACCUUAGUGGCGGACGGGUGAGUAACGCGUGGAUAACCUGCCUAUCAGACCGGGACAACACCGGGAAACUGGUGCUAAUACCGGAUACGCUCGCGGGAACACAUGUACCCGCGAGGGAAGGAGCAAUCCGCUGAUAGAUGGGUCCGCGUCCCAUUAGCUAGUUGGUGGUGUAACGGACCACCAAGGCGACGAUGGGUAGCCGGCCUGAGAGGGUGGACGGCCACACUGGAACUGAGACACGGUCCAGACUCCUACGGGAGGCAGCAGUGGGGAAUCUUCCGCAAUGGGCGAAAGCCUGACGGAGCAACGCCGCGUGAGUGAUGAAGGCCUUCGGGUUGUAAAACUCUGUCUUCAGGGAAGAAACAAAUGACGGUA